GAUGAACGCUAGCUACAGGCUUAACACAUGCAAGUCGAGGGACCGGCGCACGAGUGAGUAACACGUAUCCAGCCUGCCCUUUACUCGUGGAUAGCCUUUCGAAAGAACGAUAAAUACCCGAUAUAAUGGCUGGGGUUGCGUUCCAUUAGGUUUUUGGUGAGGUAACGGCUAGCCAAGCCUUCGAUGGUUAGGGGUUAUGAGAGGAAGUCCCCCCAGAUUGGAACGGAGACCAGGUCCAAACCCGUAGGGGGCGCAGGGGUGUGGAAGAUUGGUCACUGGUGCCUAGCCUGACCCAGCCAAGUAGCGUAAAGGAGUAUGGGUUAUGUAUCGUAAAUUUCUUUUAUAUAAGAAUCGGUAUCAUAUGAAUAAGGAUCGGCUAACUCCGUGCCAGCAGCCGCGGUAAUAC
RNAcentral lists this ribosomal RNA (406 nucleotides) under uncultured bacterium. RNAcentral describes it as "partial 16S ribosomal RNA". It matches the Rfam family "Bacterial small subunit ribosomal RNA", at positions 28 to 526 of the family's 1533-position model. The record is from RNAcentral.